UUUCAAGUCAACUUUAAGAUUUAUGCAUUCUAAAGGCAUGAGGCCUAGUUGCUCUUCAAUCAAUUUUAGCAUUCUAAAGGCAUGAGACCUAGUUGUUCUUGAACUCCAUUAGAUUAGGUGUCCACAAACAAAUACAAAACAAGCACAAGGCAAUAAUAUUUUUACACAAUAAUGUGCUCAAGUGAGCAAAAGGAAAAUAGCAUAAACAUAAACAUGAGCUCAAAUGAGCAAAAGGAAAAGACAAUAUGA
This 249-nucleotide long non-coding RNA is filed under the name Lathyrus oleraceus (garden pea). RNAcentral's name for it is "Pisum sativum (pea) long non-coding RNA (PSAT_LNC001626)". Lineage: Eukaryota; Viridiplantae; Streptophyta; Magnoliopsida; Fabales; Fabaceae. The record is from RNAcentral.